Molecule: long non-coding RNA, 1061 nt
Organism: Rhinopithecus roxellana (golden snub-nosed monkey)
Lineage: Eukaryota; Metazoa; Chordata; Mammalia; Primates; Cercopithecidae
Exons: 4
Source: RefSeq, a predicted model, not a curated record
CAUCCAUUUUCUAAUGCUUAUAGUACCGUUUUGUGGCUUUAGAACAAUGGGCUUAAUGAACUUUGUCAUCAAAGAAAACAUUUUUUACUCAGCGUUCCCACUGCUAUAAAAUAAAAUUAUUUUGUGAUAAGGUAUAAACAUAACGUUGACCUAUAUUAGUGAGGGCUAAAAAAAAAAAAAAAAAAAAAAAAAUCUAAGAUCACCAUACAAGUAUGUAUUCAGUUUCUCUACUUUCCACAUGAAACUUUCUCCUUGAAAGUUUUAAUGGACAGAGUAGAAUAUAAAUUCUAAAAUCAUAAUGUUUAAACAAUAUGAAUGUUGACUGAUUCAUAGAUCUUCUGUCUCUGGCUGUUUGGGGAUGUUGCCAUCAGCUGACACCAACAUAAUAAUUUCAGAAGAUAAUUUGAAGGAUUAAAGUGAAAUUCUUCCCAAAAAUUCUAAGAAGGGAAUGUUGACACAGAACAGAUUGGAGUAUUUAGCCAAGACUUGCAUUAAAAAAGUAGGUCAGCUUUUUAGAUCAUGUUUUCUUUGAAGGUGCAGAGGGCAGAUGAGAAGAGGAAAGGAACCAGAGCAUGACUCCUCUUUAAUGAUACUCCAGGAGCCCUUCUGAAGCAUCUGAAAGCCAGGUGUCAGGAAAGACAAUUUUGAAACUGAAGUUUGAUUUUUGGGAAGCAUAUUAAAUAUGUUAGAGGAUUAAAACAUUUGAUGUUAUGAAAUAGAAUUCCAGAUUACCAGAUGGAUUUUGAUCUCUCUCUCUCUGUGGCCCUCUGGCCCCAACUGCAUUUCUGAUUGCCUAGGAAGAACAACCUUUGAAAUUUGACAUCCACAUCUGAAUGGGGUGAGAGACCUGGAGUCUGAGAAGCUGAGAUCUGUGAUGUGGGCCCUGCACAUCUACAGGACUGACUACCAUUAAAAACUCUGAACAUCAAAGUUCAGAUGAGCUUCCUGGUGGCAAGACUCUGCAUGUGUUUUCACACAAUGUUGCUGGAAGAGUUGUGUCCCUGUGUGACUCCACUGGGCUAGUAUAAGACACCUGGAAUCUCAUACUCGGCUUCUGGACU